GUGCCUACGGGGGGCAGCAGUAGGGAAUUUUCGUCAAUGGGCGCAAGCCUGAACGAGCAAUGCCGCGUGAACGAGGAAGGUCUGCGGAUCGUAAAGUUCUGUUGAAGGGGAAAAAGAGCGGAGAGAGGAAAUGCUUUCUGAUUGAUAUUACCCUUCGAGGAAGUCACGGCUAACUACGUGCCAGCAGCCGCGGUAAUACGGAGGAUGCGAGCGUUAUCCGGAUUUAUUGGGUUUAAAGGGUGCGUAGGCGGGCUUUUAAGUCAGCGGUAAAAAUUCGGGGCUCAACCCCGUCCGGCCGUUGAAAC
RNAcentral lists this ribosomal RNA (305 nucleotides) under uncultured bacterium. Its description in RNAcentral is "bacterial SSU rRNA". It matches the Rfam family "Bacterial small subunit ribosomal RNA", at positions 335 to 633 of the family's 1533-position model. The record is from RNAcentral.